This 440-nucleotide ribosomal RNA is filed under the name uncultured fungus. RNAcentral describes it as "eukaryotic LSU rRNA". The stretch from base 1 to 145 matches the Rfam family "5.8S ribosomal RNA". The record is from RNAcentral. Lineage: Eukaryota; Fungi.
CAACGGAUCUCUUGGCUCUCGCAACGAUGAAGAACGCAGCGAAAUGCGAUAAGUAGUGUGAAUUGCAGAAUUCAGUGAAUCAUCGAAUCUUUGAACGCACAUUGCGCCCUCUGGUAUUCCGGAGAGCAUGCCCGUUUCAGAAUCAUUAAAAAUCUCACAUCUAUUGUUGUAAAAAGCAAUGGGAUCGUGGAUUUGGAUGUUUUGUCCUUACCAACAAUCAUCUUAAAAUGAUAGUAUGUGCGCCGACAAAUCGAGAAGUCGAUCGGUACCAAAGUGCAACAGAUUUGUCUAUUACUCUUUGGCUGAUUGCUUUGACGUUGACUGGAGCAUGUUCCCAAUCUAUUAACGAUGUUCAUUUCAUUUUGAUGUGACCAUUGAUAACUUGGUCUGAAAUCGGGCAAGAAAACCCGCUGAACUUAAGCAUAUCAAUAAGCGGAGGA